UUAAGCGACUAAGCGUACACGGUGGAUGCCCUGGCAGUCAGAGGCGAUGAAGGACGUGCUAAUCUGCGAUAAGCGUCGGUAAGGUGAUAUGAACCGUUAUAACCGGCGAUUUCCGAAUGGGGAAACCCAGUGUGUUUCGACACACUAUCAUUAACUGAAUCCAUAGGUUAAUGAGGCGAACCGGGGGAACUGAAACAUCUAAGUACCCCGAGGAAAAGAAAUCAACCGAGAUUCCCCCAGUAGCGGCGAGCGAACGGGGAGCAGCCCAGAGCCUGAAUCAGUGUGUGUGUUAGUGGAAGCGUCUGGAAAGGCGCGCGAUACAGGGUGACAGCCCCGUACACAAAAAUGCACAUGCUGUGAGCUCGAUGAGUAGGGCGGGACACGUGGUAUCCUGUCUGAAUAUGGGGGGACCAUCCUCCAAGGCUAAAUACUCCUGACUGACCGAUAGUGAACCAGUACCGUGAGGGAAAGGCGAAAAGAACCCCGGCGAGGGGAGUGAAAAAGAACCUGAAACCGUGUACGUACAAGCAGUGGGAGCACGCUUAGGCGUGUGACUGCGUACCUUUUGUAUAAUGGGUCAGCGACUUAUAUUCUGUAGCAAGGUUAACCGAAUAGGGGAGCCGAAGGGAAACCGAGUCUUAACUGGGCGUUAAGUUGCAGGGUAUAGACCCGAAACCCGGUGAUCUAGCCAUGGGCAGGUUGAAGGUUGGGUAACACUAACUGGAGGACCGAACCGACUAAUGUUGAAAAAUUAGCGGAUGACUUGUGGCUGGGGGUGAAAGGCCAAUCAAACCGGGAGAUAGCUGGUUCUCCCCGAAAGCUAUUUAGGUAGCGCCUCGUGAAUUCAUCUCCGGGGGUAGAGCACUGUUUCGGCAAGGGGGUCAUCCCGACUUACCAACCCGAUGCAAACUGCGAAUACCGGAGAAUGUUAUCACGGGAGACACACGGCGGGUGCUAACGUCCGUCGUGAAGAGGGAAACAACCCAGACCGCCAGCUAAGGUCCCAAAGUCAUGGUUAAGUGGGAAACGAUGUGGGAAGGCCCAGACAGCCAGGAUGUUGGCUUAGAAGCAGCCAUCAUUUAAAGAAAGCGUAAUAGCUCACUGGUCGAGUCGGCCUGCGCGGAAGAUGUAACGGGGCUAAACCAUGCACCGAAGCUGCGGCAGCGACACUGAUGCGUUGUUGGGUAGGGGAGCGUUCUGUAAGCCUGCGAAGGUGUGCUGUGAGGCAUGCUGGAGGUAUCAGAAGUGCGAAUGCUGACAUAAGUAACGAUAAAGCGGGUGAAAAGCCCGCUCGCCGGAAGACCAAGGGUUCCUGUCCAACGUUAAUCGGGGCAGGGUGAGUCGACCCCUAAGGCGAGGCCGAAAGGCGUAGUCGAUGGGAAACAGGUUAAUAUUCCUGUACUUGGUGUUACUGCGAAGGGGGGACGGAGAAGGCUAUGUUGGCCGGGCGACGGUUGUCCCGGUUUAAGCGUGUAGGCUGGUUUUCCAGGCAAAUCCGGAAAAUCAAGGCUGAGGCGUGAUGACGAGGCACUACGGUGCUGAAGCAACAAAUGCCCUGCUUCCAGGAAAAGCCUCUAAGCAUCAGGUAACAUCAAAUCGUACCCCAAACCGACACAGGUGGUCAGGUAGAGAAUACCAAGGCGCUUGAGAGAACUCGGGUGAAGGAACUAGGCAAAAUGGUGCCGUAACUUCGGGAGAAGGCACGCUGAUAUGUAGGUGAAGUCCCUCGCGGAUGGAGCUGAAAUCAGUCGAAGAUACCAGCUGGCUGCAACUGUUUAUUAAAAACACAGCACUGUGCAAACACGAAAGUGGACGUAUACGGUGUGACGCCUGCCCGGUGCCGGAAGGUUAAUUGAUGGGGUUAGCGCAAGCGAAGCUCUUGAUCGAAGCCCCGGUAAACGGCGGCCGUAACUAUAACGGUCCUAAGGUAGCGAAAUUCCUUGUCGGGUAAGUUCCGACCUGCACGAAUGGCGUAAUGAUGGCCAGGCUGUCUCCACCCGAGACUCAGUGAAAUUGAACUCGCUGUGAAGAUGCAGUGUACCCGCGGCAAGACGGAAAGACCCCGUGAACCUUUACUAUAGCUUGACACUGAACAUUGAGCCUUGAUGUGUAGGAUAGGUGGGAGGCUUUGAAGUGUGGACGCCAGUCUGCAUGGAGCCGACCUUGAAAUACCACCCUUUAAUGUUUGAUGUUCUAACGUUGACCCGUAAUCCGGGUUGCGGACAGUGUCUGGUGGGUAGUUUGACUGGGGCGGUCUCCUCCUAAAGAGUAACGGAGGAGCACGAAGGUUGGCUAAUCCUGGUCGGACAUCAGGAGGUUAGUGCAAUGGCAUAAGCCAGCUUGACUGCGAGCGUGACGGCGCGAGCAGGUGCGAAAGCAGGUCAUAGUGAUCCGGUGGUUCUGAAUGGAAGGGCCAUCGCUCAACGGAUAAAAGGUACUCCGGGGAUAACAGGCUGAUACCGCCCAAGAGUUCAUAUCGACGGCGGUGUUUGGCACCUCGAUGUCGGCUCAUCACAUCCUGGGGCUGAAGUAGGUCCCAAGGGUAUGGCUGUUCGCCAUUUAAAGUGGUACGCGAGCUGGGUUUAGAACGUCGUGAGACAGUUCGGUCCCUAUCUGCCGUGGGCGCUGGAGAACUGAGGGGGGCUGCUCCUAGUACGAGAGGACCGGAGUGGACGCAUCACUGGUGUUCGGGUUGUCAUGCCAAUGGCACUGCCCGGUAGCUAAAUGCGGAAGAGAUAAGUGCUGAAAGCAUCUAAGCACGAAACUUGCCCCGAGAUGAGUUCUCCCUGACCCUUUAAGGGUCCUGAAGGAACGUUGAAGACGACGACGUUGAUAGGCCGGGUGUGUAAGCGCAGCGAUGCGUUGAGCUAACCGGUACUAAUGAACCGUGAGGCUUAACCUU
This 2902-nucleotide ribosomal RNA is filed under the name Escherichia coli. RNAcentral describes it as "bacterial LSU rRNA". It matches the Rfam family "Bacterial large subunit ribosomal RNA". Lineage: Bacteria; Pseudomonadati; Pseudomonadota; Gammaproteobacteria; Enterobacterales; Enterobacteriaceae. The record is from RNAcentral.